AGUACCUGAAACCGUUGGUCUACAAACAGUCAAAGCAGACUUGUUCUGCGAUGGCGUGCCUUUUGAAGAAUGAGCCAACGAGUUACGGUGUGUGGCAAGGUUAACCCGAUGAGGGGAAGCCGGAGCGAAAGCGAGUCUGAACAGGGCGUUCAGUCGCAUGCCGUAGACCCGAAGCCGAGUGAGCUAUCCAUGGGCAGUGUGAAGCGGAGGUAAGACUCUGUGGAGGCGCGAACCGACUUCAGUUGAAAAUGGAGCGGAUGACCUGUGGAUAGGGGUGAAAGGCCAAUCAAACUCGGUGAUAGCUGGUUCUCCGCGAAAUGCAUUUAGGUGCAGCGUCGUGCGUUCAACGAUGGGGGUAGAGCACUGAAUGGGCUAGGGGUCCUACAAGACUACCGACCCCAAUCAAACUCCGAAUACCAUCGUUCCAGAGCACGGCAGUGAGACCUCGGGGGAUGAGCUUCGAGGUCGAGAGGGAAACAGCCCAGACCGCCGGCUAAGGUCCCAAAAUCUGAACUAAGUGGUAAACGAUGUGAGAUUGCGAAGACAGCCAGGAGGUUGGCUUGGAAGCAGCCAUCCUUGAAAGAGUGCGUAACAGCUCACUGGUCGAGUGAUCUUGCGCGGACAAUGUAACGGGGCUCAAGUUCAGUACCGAAGCCGCGGAUGCGACUCUUUGAGUCGUGUGGUAGCGGAGCGUCGAGCGUGCAGCGAAGCGGCGGGACAACCCAGCCGUGGAGCGCGUUCGAGUGCGAAUGUUGGCAUGAGUAGCGAAUGAGGGGUGAGAACCCCCUCCGCCGUAUGUCCAAGGGUUCCUGGGCGAGGCCAAUCCUCCCAGGGUGAGUCGGGAGCUAAGGCGAGGCCGAGAGGCGUAGUCGAUGCACAACUGGUUGAUAUUCCAGUACCACCAUGUUCGCGUCCGUCCCAAUACUCUGUUGCUAAGGGGCUGUGUUGACUUCGGUCAACGCGAACCGACCCACAUUGUUGCGGGAAGCUGUAGGGGGACGCAGGAAGGUAGAUGAACCCGGUGAAUGGUAGAACCGGGGUAAGCGUGUAGGAGGAGGACCAGGUAAAUCCGGGCCUCAUAAACUCUGAGACGUGAUACCGAGCCGCUUCAGGCGAAGUCAUUGAUCCUAUGCUGCCUAGAAAAGCCCAGCAGCGAGUUGACAUGGUGCCCGUACCCCAAACCAACACAGGUGGACAGGUAGAGCAUACCAAGGCGAGUGGGAUAACUAUGGUUAAGGAACUCGGCAAAUUGCCUCCGUAACUUCGGGAGAAGGAGGACCCCAGUAGCGUGAUGAGACUUGCUCUCUGAGCGUGAAGGGGCGGCACAAAAUUGAGGGAAGCGACUGUUUACCAAAAACACAGCAGCGUGCUAAGCCGUAAGGCGCUGUAUACGCUGUGACUCCUGCCCGGUGCUGGAAGGUUACGGGGAUGGGUUAGUCCUUCGGGACGAAGCUCUGAACCUAAGCCCCAGUAAACGGCGGCCGUAACUAUAACGGUCCUAAGGUAGCGAAAUUCCUUGUCGGGUAAGUUCCGACCUGCACGAAUGGAGUAACGACUUCCCUACUGUCUCAACCAUAGACCCAGCGAAAUUGAAGUACGAGUAAAGAUGCUCGUUAGCUGCAGAAGGACGGAAAGACCCCGUGGACCUUUACUAUAACUUGAUGUUGUGUUUUGUCAUAUGUUGUGUAGGAUAGGUGGGAGACUUGGAAGCAUGGACGCUAGUCUGUGUGGAGUCAUCGC
Molecule: ribosomal RNA, 1740 nt
Filed under: metagenome
Description: bacterial LSU rRNA
Rfam family: Bacterial large subunit ribosomal RNA
Source: RNAcentral